ACUUCACCAGAAUCUCCCAUAGUGCAGCAGCUGACUUCCUGCGUACAAAUCCCAAUCUUGUACUUACGUUGAGGGAAGUGGGACGUUAUCCAGCCUACAAGGAACUAUUUGCAGAGUACACGUGGAGUGACCGAGCUCAUCGGAACUCAGGUUGGGCAGUCCAUUCCUAUAGUCGUCACUUUUGAUAGGUAGAGUAGCCAUGUUUGACAGCCCUAUAUCGAGUAGACACAGCACCUUGCACAUCCGCACCACGCCACAAUACGCUACACCUUUACCCUUCAACAGAAGUGUUGACCAUGUUCCGUCGACCAUCUACCUGCCCAG
Molecule: long non-coding RNA, 324 nt
Organism: Haliotis rubra (blacklip abalone)
Lineage: Eukaryota; Metazoa; Mollusca; Gastropoda; Lepetellida; Haliotidae
Exons: 3
Source: RefSeq, a predicted model, not a curated record